GAUGAACGCUGGCGGCGUGCUUAACACAUGCAAGUCGAACGGUGAAGGCGGAGCUUGCUCUGCUGGAUCAGUGGCGAACGGGUGAGUAACACGUGAGCAAUCUGCCCCUGACUCUGGGAUAAGCGCUGGAAACGGCGGCUAAUACUGGAUACGAGCUGCUAAGGCAUCUUCAGCAGCGGGAAAGAACUUCGGUCAGGGAUGAGCUCGCGGCCUAUCAGCUUGUUGGUGAGGUAGCGGCUCACCAAGGCGUCGACGGGUAGCCGGCCUGAGAGGGUGACCGGCCACACUGGGACUGAGACACGGCCCAGACUCCUACGGGAGGCAGCAGUGGGGAAUAUUGCACAAUGGGCGGAAGCCUGAUGCAGCAACGCCGCGUGAGGGACGACGGCCUUCGGGUUGUAAACCGCUUUCGCCUGUGACGAAGCGUGAGUGACGGUAAUGGGUAAAGAAGCACCGGCUAACUACGUG
RNAcentral lists this ribosomal RNA (468 nucleotides) under uncultured bacterium. RNAcentral's name for it is "partial 16S ribosomal RNA". It matches the Rfam family "Bacterial small subunit ribosomal RNA", at positions 28 to 507 of the family's 1533-position model. The record is from RNAcentral.